CAGUCGCCACGGUAAUACGAAGGGUGCAAGCGUUAAUCGGAAUUACUGGGCGUAAAGCGUGCGUAGGCGGUUUGUUAAGUCUGCUGUGAAAUCCCCGGGCUCAACCUGGGAAUGGCAGUGGAUACUGGCAAGCUAGAGUGUGUCAGAGGAUGGUGGAAUUCCCGGUGUAGCGGUGAAAUGCGUAGAGAUCGGGAGGAACACCAACGGCGAAAGCACUCUGCUGGGCCGACACUGACACUGAGUGACGAAAGCUAGGGGAGCAAAUGGGAUUAGAUACCCCAGUAGUCCCUGUCUCUUAUAC
RNAcentral lists this ribosomal RNA (301 nucleotides) under uncultured bacterium. Its description in RNAcentral is "partial 16S ribosomal RNA". It matches the Rfam family "Bacterial small subunit ribosomal RNA", at positions 509 to 807 of the family's 1533-position model. The record is from RNAcentral.